This 465-nucleotide ribosomal RNA is filed under the name uncultured bacterium. RNAcentral describes it as "bacterial SSU rRNA". It matches the Rfam family "Bacterial small subunit ribosomal RNA", at positions 338 to 795 of the family's 1533-position model. The record is from RNAcentral.
CCUACGGGUCGCAGCAGUGGGGAAUAUUGCACAAUGGGCGCAAGCCUGAUGUAGCCAUGCCGCGUGUGUGAAGAAGGCCUUCGGGUUGUAAAGCACUUUCAGCGAGGAGGAAGGCGGUGAGGUUAAUAACCUCAUCGAUUGACGUUACCCGCAGAAGAAGCACCGGCUAACUCCGUGCCAGCAGCCGCGCUAAUACGGAGGGUGCAAGCGUUAAUCGGAAUUACUGGGCGUAAAGCGCACGCAGGCGGUCUGUUAAGUCGGAUGUGAAAUCCCCGGGCUCAACCUGGGAACUGCAUUCGAAACUGGCAGGCUAGAGUCUUGUAGAGGGGGGUAGAAUUCCAGGUGUAGCGGUGAAAUGCGUAGAGAUCUGGAGGAAUACCAGUGGCGAAGGCGGCCCCCUGGACAAAGACUGACGCUCAGGUGCGAAAGCGUGGGGAGCAAACAGGAUUAGAUACCCCUGUAGUC